This 498-nucleotide ribosomal RNA is filed under the name uncultured bacterium. Its description in RNAcentral is "partial 16S ribosomal RNA". It matches the Rfam family "Bacterial small subunit ribosomal RNA", at positions 29 to 507 of the family's 1533-position model. The record is from RNAcentral.
AGCGAACGCUGGCGGCGUGCCUAGCACAUGCAAGUCGAACGUGAAAAGGGAAACCUGAGUAAAGUGGCGUACGGGUGAGUCACGCGUAGGUAAUCUACCCCAGAAUCUGGAAUAACCUGCCGAAAGGCGGGCUAAUACUGGAUAGAGCGAGGGAACUCGUAAGAGAGUUUUUCGGGAAAGGGAGCCCGCAAGGGCCUUCGUUCUGGGAUGAGCCUGCGUCUCAUUAGCUAGUUGGUAAGGUAACGGCUUACCAAGGCGAUGAUGAGUAGCUGGUCUGAGAGGAUGAUCAGCCACACUGGAACUGAAACACGGUCCAGACUCCUACGGGAGGCAGCAGUGGGGAAUCUUGCGCAAUGGACGAAAGUCUGACGCAGCCACGCCGCGUGAGUGAAGAAGGCCUUCGGGUUGUAAAGCUCUGUCGGAUGGGACGAACAUCUUCAUAGUGAAUAGCUAUGAGGACUGACGGUACCAUCAAAGGAAGCACCGGCUAACUCCGUG